Molecule: long non-coding RNA, 309 nt
Filed under: Homo sapiens (human)
Lineage: Eukaryota; Metazoa; Chordata; Mammalia; Primates; Hominidae
Description: HSALNT0339542
Source: RNAcentral
GUUUUUAUUUUAUUUAUUAUUAUUAAUUUUUUAUGAGAUGGAGUUUUGCUCUUGUUGCCCAGGCUGGAGUGCAAUGGCAUGAUCUUGGCUUACUGCAACCUCCCCCUCCCAGGUUCAAGCGAUUCUCCUGCCUCAGUUUCUCUAGUAGCUGGGAUUACAGGCAGAUGCCAUGAUGCCCAGCUAAUUUUUGUAUUUUUAGUAGAGACGGGGUUUCACUAUUUUGGUCAGGCUGGUUUCGAACUCCUGACCUCAGGUGAUCUGCCCACCUCGGCCUCCCAAAGUGCUGGGAUUACAGCAUGAGCCACUGUG